RNAcentral lists this transfer RNA (64 nucleotides) under Dipodomys ordii (Ord's kangaroo rat). It matches the Rfam family "tRNA". From Rfam's summary of the family: Transfer RNA (tRNA) molecules are approximately 80 nucleotides in length. Their secondary structure includes four short double-helical elements and three loops (D, anti-codon, and T loops). Further hydrogen bonds mediate the characteristic L-shaped molecular structure. tRNAs have two regions of fundamental functional importance: the anti-codon, which is responsible for specific mRNA codon recognition, and the 3' end, to which the tRNAs corresponding amino acid is attached (by aminoacyl-tRNA synthetases). tRNAs cope with the degeneracy of the genetic code in two manners: having more than one tRNA (with a specific anti-codon) for a particular amino acid; and 'wobble' base-pairing, i.e. permitting non-standard base-pairing at the 3rd anti-codon position. The record is from Rfam by way of RNAcentral. Lineage: Eukaryota; Metazoa; Chordata; Mammalia; Rodentia; Heteromyidae.
GGGAAGGUGGCUCAGUGGUAGAGUGCUUGCCUUGCAUGCAUGAGGCCCUGGGCUGGCUUCCUCC